UAGCUUGACUGGGAACGGCUGUAUUGGCACCAUUGAUCCCACUCCGCUAUGGAGUUUGCCAACACAAGGCAUCAAACAACACAAUUCAAUGCAACGUGAUGUUCAGUUAACUCAUAGCACAUGCACAAAAUGAAAUAUCCACAAAUACAGGUUCUACUAUGGAUGCAGCAUCCUCUCUGGUAAUAGCCAUGAGGCAGAAUUAAUUUGUUUUCUUUCCAGGAGUAUGCCCUCUCCUGCACAAGCAAGACCACAGACAGGUCUUCUAAAGAAGGCUGGGACUCAGGCAGCCUGUGUUUCUGCUAGGGACUGACUUCCUGAUUACCCUUGCACAAAUCUUAUCCACCUCAUAUCCCAUUUCUGAGCUUCAAAAUGAAGAUGCUACUUUUGCCUUCCUGCCAUCUUCUCUCCUUUGUCUGUAUGGUUUUGAGUGCUGAAAAAUCCCCUUUUUUUUUGGUACAGUUAGAAUGCAAAGCUGAUGACUUCUUCAGUGUUUCACAGCUGUCAUUCCAUGAUGAAAAAUGUUGUGCUGGAGAGAAAGGCACGUUACAGCCUUCAUUUCUUCAGUAGCCUGCUUUAUAAGAACAGAAUCUGGCCUGGCAGUCCUCCUUCAUAAAGCAUAGUAGGACCUGACUGACACUACAGGAGUUAUCACAUUUGAAUUACAGCAUGGCCCAGUGUAACUCUUAACAAAACUCUACCUUCUCACAUUUUUAAAAUAAGACAAAGUCAAAAUCCUUACAUACAGUAAUUGAUGGAUUGGCCUGUUGCUAUUUUAUCACUAGAAUUUGACAGCAGGGGCUGCCUCAAGCGCUAACGUCUUCUCUAAAACAAAAAGCCAUCUUGUGACAAAAAUGGGGCAAAGCUACCAGAAAUUUGAUAGCUCUCUCUUGUUUUGUUUAGAUAAGCCAAUAUCACCCCUCAUGCUCAGCUUCCAUCAGCUUUCUGUACUUCUCCUGCAUUUGGUUUUCACUUCUUUAAGUUGACUUACUGCACAGCUGGAUGCUCACUCUUAAUGGCACCCAGGACAGGCAGGGAAUAGCCACCUCAGAAUGAUGAGGGAAGAGCCACAUUUCUAGGAUGCAACGUGGAAACACAUUACAUUACUGAUGAAUGCUAAUAAUAGCUUGAAUGGCAAUUAAAAAGACAGUAAGCUGUAAGGCUUUGUUAACAGCAGUGUUAAGAUCUUAGGUUAAGGUGAAAUAUAAUAAUUGUAGAUGCCUGAAAGCCACACAGGUUAUUCUAUAGCUGCUGAGCUUCAUUUUGCCAAGAUGAAGUAAGGAUCAGAUGCUCCCCUGCAGGCAAGAAGGCUAGAAGUACUUUUAGCCCCAUUAUUACCUGAGCAAGACAGGCUUAAUAACAGCAACCUGAUUUAAUCAAGUAUCCAGAUUAUCCAGCAACUUGCAGUGAUAAUGCAGGUCCAAGGUCAAGCCAGGAAAUCAAUCUACAGGUCAGGUCUAAUCCACUGGGAGCAACCACAGUCAGAUGCAACUCAGUAAGUACCCAGCAGACACAAGAUGACAGAAUAAGCCCAAAAUCAAGAUAAAACGUCACCCUGUAGAUCAGGCAGGAGGACUGUGACUGAUUUAGAGAUCAGCACUUAUGCAACAAAGUCCAAACAUCAUGAAGACCUAAACAUGAGUUUAAGGUGAGCUCCUGGGCCGAGGGCCAGAGGGUGUUGGUCCCAGGUGAGGUUGGUUAGUCACAUUUCAUUCAUUUACAGUAAACAAAGAAACCCAGCACCACCAUUCUUCAGAGAAUCCACGGUUUCUCAUGCACUGUAUUUGUGAAAAACAAAGAUAUUUUGGAAGAAUUGUAUUGCCUUAAAUGGAUAUUGCAGGACUACCUAGGCUCCGUUGUUCUUACAAUUUAAUUCUCAAGCAGUUAUUGGCACAGCUGGCUCUGCACAGGACUACUGACUGCUCAGCAGGUCUCUAACGCUUAUGAUGACAUCUUCUGAACUGAUACCAUAUAUACAGUGGUUCUUAGUGUACCAACUCCUGAGAGAACUCAACCCUCCUUCCUGUGUUUAUCAUGAUGAGAUCUGAUGAGUUCAGGAGCUGUUGGAGUUCUUAUGACUGAAGUGUCUUUCUGUAGGAUGAUAAGUCGUAGGAACGAGAAAGAUACCUGCUCCCAUCUUGCUUCUGUUCUACUUUUGAGAGUAAUAUUUGUCUUUUGGUGAGUAAAACCAGGGAGUGACCCUUUCCAUCUGCCUUGGAUGCAAAGUCCACUCUUGCCUAAGUACAGCUGCCUAUCCAGAGGAGUCCCUUCUUGGAACAGAGCCUGAUUCUGCCAUUGGCCACACACUGCUCUGUCUCUGGCUGCUACUCCUGUUAACAGACUGCGCUGCCUGCUGCUGAUAGUCCAGAGCAACAGCCAGCCGCUCCUCAUGCCACCCCCUCCAUGGACCAGACAGUCUGCAGUGCUCAGGUGUAGGACUCCACAUUUGGUCCAGGUGAACCUCAUCAGGUUCCUCUCCUCCCAGCUCUCCAGACUUACUCUUUCACAAAGCCUCAGUAUUACUCAAAUUAUUUUCUCCAUAAAGACCACAGAGCACUUAAAUGGCAUGAGUUUGCUGAGGAGACGUGCUGAAUACAUCGACGACGAACACUCUCCUCUACAAAGAGCAAUGAAAAGAAGCAGAUUUUAGAAGCUGUGGAUCUUGCAGGCAUGUUUAAAAUGAACAAAAAGAGGGAAGAAAUAUCUGGUGUCCUUUGAAACUUCGUAAACUGUUUUAAGACUAGCUCAGUUGGUAUUUUGGACAUGACAAACGGAGGGACAAACGCAUCUGACAGACCUCUGAGAAGACACAGCCCAGGCCUUGGAGCCGGCUGGGAGACAGCAAUACCCAGGAGAAGACAAAUGGAAAGGGGAGGGUGUGGAAAUGGCUGGAAGCAGCACUUGGCCCCUCCAGACAUGCGUGCGGACACACAAAUGCGAAGUGCUGCUGGGGCAAUUGUAUAAUUAGGAAUUAAACUGUCACUUGCCCGAGACACUUUGGAUCUCAUCCAACAGAAUAUUGAAAUACUAAUCAGACUUUCCUUCAGGAAUAUUUUUUCCUUUCCUACACCAAGAAAUCAGGGAUAAUCAAUGUAAAGGUUUUUGAACUCCAUUCCCCAGACCUGUGAGCACAGGCCUUUGAUUUCAAGAGAGAAGUACAGGUGCUAAUAGUUGAUAUUAAUAUGAAUGCAUAAGUAAUAUUAACUUGGAAAAUAUCUAUUUACUCCUAGAUAAACACAUAUAGGAAAAUGUGUAAAGCUCUAAGAUUUAGGAUUUCCAGCUGCCAACUUACUUGCAAACCAAAGAGAACAGUUCAAUAAAUAAAUAAAGACUUAUUUCCUUCUAUCACUCUCCUACAAAUG
Numida meleagris (helmeted guineafowl) is the source of this 3359-nucleotide long non-coding RNA. RefSeq lists it as uncharacterized. The transcript has 5 exons. The record is from RefSeq and is a predicted model, not a curated record. Lineage: Eukaryota; Metazoa; Chordata; Aves; Galliformes; Numididae.